UGCCUGUACCAUAACCGACACAGGUGGGUAAGUAGAGUAUACUAAGGGGCGCGAGAUAACUCUCUCUAAGGAACUCGGCAAAAUAACUCCGUAACUUCGGGAGAAGGAGUGCCUUAUUCUUAAGGUUGCAAUAACAAGAUCCAAGCAACUGUUUAUCAAAAACACAGGUCUCCGCUAAGUCGUAAGACGAUGUAUGGGGGCUGACGCCUGCCCAGUGCCAGAAGGUUAAAGAAGUCGGUUAGCAAUAGCAAAGCUGGUAACUGAAGCCCUGGUGAACGGCGGCCGUAACGAUAACGGUCCUAAGGUAGCGAAAUUCCUUGUCGGGUAAGUUCCGACCCGCACGAAAGGCGUAAUGAUUUGGAUGCUGUCUCGGAGAGGGGCUCGGUGAAAUAGACUUGUCUGUGAAGAUGCGGACUACCUGCACCAGGACAGAAAGACCCUAUGAAGCUUUACUGUAACUUGAAAUUGAAAUUGGACUUUAUUCGCGCAGUAUAGGUGGGAGGCGUUGAUUAUAAUCUUGUGGGAUUAUUGGAGCCAUCAGUGAGAUACCACUCUUGUAAUGUUAGAUUUCUAACUUUGAAUCAUUAUCUGGUCAAAGGACAGUUUCAGGCGGGCAGUUUGACUGGGGCGGUCGCCUCCUAAACGGUAACGGAGGCGUACAAAGGUUUCCUCUGAACGGUUAGAAAUCGUAUCUAGAGUGUAAAGGCAUAAGGAAGCUUGACUGUGAGACCUACAAGUCGAGCAGGGACGAAAGUCGGUCUUAGUGAUCUGACGGUACUGAGUGGAAAGGCCGUCACUCAACGGAUAAAAGUUACUCUAGGAUAACAGGCUGAUCUCCCCCAAGAGUUCACAUCGACGGGGAGGUUUGGCACCUCGAUGUCGGCUCAUCGCAUCCUGGGGCGGUAGUACGUCCCAAGGGUUGGGCUGUUCGCCCAUGAAAGCGGUACGCGAGCUGGGUUCAGAACGUCGUGAGACAGUUCGGUCCAUAUCCGGUGUAGGCGCUAGAAUAUUGAGAGGAGCCUUCUUUAGUACGAGAGGACCGAGAAGGACAUACCUCUGGUGUACCAGUUAUCGUGCCAACGGUAAACGCUGGGUAGCUAUGUAUGGAGUGGAUAACCGCUGAAAGCAUCUAAGUGGGAAGCCCACCUCAAGAUAAGUAUUCUCAUCACGUAUGUGAGUAAGGUCACGGUAAGACUAACCGUUUGAUAGGCAUUAAGUG
Molecule: ribosomal RNA, 1219 nt
Filed under: metagenome
Description: bacterial LSU rRNA
Rfam family: Bacterial large subunit ribosomal RNA
Source: RNAcentral